Molecule: long non-coding RNA, 631 nt
Organism: Macrosteles quadrilineatus (aster leafhopper)
Lineage: Eukaryota; Metazoa; Arthropoda; Insecta; Hemiptera; Cicadellidae
Exons: 4
Source: RefSeq, a predicted model, not a curated record
UUAGGGGUAGGGAAUUUCAAUUUAUUUUAUAAAUACCCAAAAUACCCGGGUAUUUAUGGAUUUUGGGUAUUUACCCGGGUAAAUACCCAGGGUAUUUACCCCGAGUUUUAAAUACCUGGGUAUUUUACAUCACUAGUUAGGAGUUGUUAUUUUUGUGACUGGGUAUUGGCAUAACCUACACCGAACAUCUUUUCACGUUUUGAUCCUUUGGAGCAUUUGAUAACUCUGCAGCUUUGGUGGAAGUUAUUAUUUGGUAGCAGUGAAUAAUUGACCUACCAAUUCUCCCGAGUGACAAAGUGGCUGUCUAGCAGCCUGUAGGCUGGGAAGGAGGAAUAAAUUUUUCUUUUGCAAUCUGCAUCUGAGGCCAGCUAUCUUGCAGGCAGUACCGGUACGCAAGAACACUAGGAUCGUGGUGUAAUGGAAAAUAUGUUGUUGCUACUAUAAUCAAGAAUUGGCUUCGCCCAGCAAAGUUUAGGAUUGAUGCAAGGAACAAGAGAAAAAUCAAGAAAGCCAUUUGGGAGAUGAAGAAGACCAGAAUUAAUUUUUUUGUAAAUUGUACAUAUCUUUUUAUAUUUGUAUUUAAAUAAUUUUUAAUUAAACUUAUUUGAUCAUACAAACAACAUUUUUUUCU